GUGCUCGCUUUGGCAGCACAUAUACUAAAAUUGGAAAGAUACAGAGAAGAUUAGCAUGGCCCCUGCACAAGGAUUACAUGCAAAUUCGUGAAGUGUUCCAUAUUUUU
This is a small nuclear RNA of Camelus dromedarius (Arabian camel), 107 nucleotides long. NCBI's taxonomy places the organism in Eukaryota, Metazoa, Chordata, Mammalia, Artiodactyla, Camelidae. The record is from Ensembl.